CACUGCCGAGAAAAGCCUCUAGAUAGAAAAUAGGUGCCCGUACCGCAAACCGACACAGGUAGUCAAGAUGAGAAUUCUAAGGUGAGCGAGCGAACUCUCGUUAAGGAACUCGGCAAAAUGACCCCGUAACUUCGGGAGAAGGGGUGCUCUUUAGGGUUAACGCCCAGAAGAGCCGCAGUGAAUAGGCCCAAGCGACUGUUUAUCAAAAACACAGGUCUCUGCUAAACCGUAAGGUGAUGUAUAGGGGCUGACGCCUGCCCGGUGCUGGAAGGUUAAGAGGAGUGGUUAGCUUCUGCGAAGCUACGAAUCGAAGCCCCAGUAAACGGCGGCCGUAACUAUAACGGUCCUAAGGUAGCGAAAUUCCUUGUCGGGUAAGUUCCGACCCGCACGAAAGGCGUAACGAUUUGGGCACUGUCUCAACGAGAGACUCGGUGAAAUCAUAGUACCUGUGAAGAUGCAGGUUACCCGCGACAGGACGGAAAGACCCCGUGGAGCUUUACUGUAGCCUGAUAUUGAAAUUCGGCACAGCUUGUACAGGAUAGGUAGGAGCCUUUGAAACGUGAGCGCUAGCUUACGUGGAGGCGCUGGUGGGAUACUACCCUAGCUGUGUUGGCUUUCUAACCCGCACCACUUAUCGUGGUGGGAGACAGUGUCAGGCGGGCAGUUUGACUGGGGCGGUCGCCUCCUAAAAGGUAACGGAGGCGCUCAAAGGUUCCCUCAGAAUGGUUGGAAAUCAUUCAUAGAGUGUAAAGGCAUAAGGGAGCUUGACUGCGAGACCUACAAGUCGAGCAGGGUCGAAAGACGGACUUAGUGAUCCGGUGGUUCCGCAUGGAAGGGCCAUCGCUCAACGGAUAAAAGCUACCCCGGGGAUAACAGGCUUAUCUCCCCCAAGAGUUCACAUCGACGGGGAGGUUUGGCACCUCGAUGUCGGCUCAUCGCAUCCUGGGGCUGUAGUCGGUCCCAAGGGUUGGGCUGUUCGCCCAUUAAAGCGGUACGCGAGCUGGGUUCAGAACGUCGUGAGACAGUUCGGUCCCUAUCCGUCGUGGGCGUAGGAAAUUUGAGAGGAGCUGUCCUUAGUACGAGAGGACCGGGAUGGACAUACCUCUGGUGUACCAGUUGUCGUGCCAACGGCAUAGCUGGGUAGCUAUGUGUGGACGGGAUAAGUGCUGAAAGCAUCUAAGCAUGAAGCCCCCCUCAAGAUGAGAUUUCCCAACUUCGGUUAUAAGAUCCCUCAAAGAUGAUGAGGUUAAUAGGUUCGAGGUGG
This 1264-nucleotide ribosomal RNA is filed under the name Staphylococcus aureus. RNAcentral's name for it is "partial 23S ribosomal RNA". It matches the Rfam family "Bacterial large subunit ribosomal RNA", at positions 1603 to 2870 of the family's 2925-position model. The record is from RNAcentral. Lineage: Bacteria; Bacillati; Bacillota; Bacilli; Caryophanales; Staphylococcaceae.